ACGGUGUUCGGGAUUAUUGGGCGUAAGAGCUCGUAGGCGGUUUGUCGCGUCUGCUGUGAAAGCCCGGGGCUCAACCCCGGGUCUGCAGUGGGUACGGGCAGACUAGAGUGCAGUAGGGGAGACUGGAAUUCCUGGUGUAGCGGUGAAAUGCGCAGAUAUCAGGAGGAACACCGAUGGCGAAGGCAGGUCUCUGGGCUGUUACUGACGCUGAGGAGCGAAAGCAUGGGGAGCGAACAGGAUUAGAUACCCUGGUAGUCCAUGCCGUAAACGUUGGGCACUAGGUGUGGGGGACAUUCCACGUUUUCCGCGCCGUAGCUAACGCAUUAAGUGCCCCGCCUGGGGAGUACGGCCGCAAGGCUAAAACUCAAAGGAAUUGACGGGGGCCCGCACAAGCGGCGGAGCAUGCGGAUUAAUUCGAUGCAACGCGAAGAACCUUACCAAGGCUUGACAUUCACCGGACCGCCCCAGAGAUGGGGUUUCCCUUCGGGGCUGGUGGACAGGUGGUGCAUGGUUGUCGUCAGCUCGUGUCGUGAGAUGUUGGGUUAAGUCCCGCAACGAGCGCAACCCUCGUUCUAUGUUGCCAGCACGUGAUGGUGGGGACUCAUAGGAGACUGCCGGGGUCAACUCGGAGGAAGGUGGGGAUGACGUCAAAUCAUCAUGCCCCUUAUGUCUUGGGCUUCACGCAUGCUACAAUGGCCGGUACAAAGGGUUGCGAUACUGUGAGGUGGAGCUAAUCCCAAAAAGCCGGUCUCAGUUCGGAUUGAGGUCUGCAACUCGACCUCAUGAAGUCGGAGUCGCUAGUAAUCGCAGAUCAGCAACGCUGCGGUGAAUACGUUCCCGGGCCUUGUACACACCGCCCGUCAAGUCACGAAAGUUGGUAACACCCGAAGCCGGUGGCCUAACCCCUUGUGGGAGGGAGCCGUCGAAGGUGGGACUGGCGAUUGGGACUAAGUCGUAACAAGGUAAACCGUAA
This 973-nucleotide ribosomal RNA is filed under the name Kocuria sp. PIC-C15. RNAcentral's name for it is "bacterial SSU rRNA". It matches the Rfam family "Bacterial small subunit ribosomal RNA", at positions 538 to 1505 of the family's 1533-position model. Lineage: Bacteria; Bacillati; Actinomycetota; Actinomycetes; Micrococcales; Micrococcaceae. The record is from RNAcentral.